This 361-nucleotide unclassified non-coding RNA is filed under the name Hevea brasiliensis (rubber tree). Lineage: Eukaryota; Viridiplantae; Streptophyta; Magnoliopsida; Malpighiales; Euphorbiaceae. The record is from RNAcentral.
CGACAGAGUAUGGCUUAGCAUCUGUGAAUACAUGAAUGAUGAACAGAAACCUGCUUAACUUUCAUCAUCAGAAGUCUUUGACUUGUUUCCGGAAAGUCUCCUCAUCCAUUUCUUCUGCGAUGUAGUAAGAUGAAAUAUUGGUGCACGGUGUGGAGUAUCUGAUGAUUCUCUCACAGUUGUGGAUGGAAGUUCAGCAGGAAGUGCAGAUGCAGUGCUGGUGAAGGCAUUCAAAACAAGAAAUGCCAAUAUGGGGGAAAGAUCUAGAGUCCCUCCAAGUGGUGGAAUAAUCCCACGGAAUAUGUUCAAGUAUGGGUCGCAUAGAGUGCUGAGAGGACUGACAAUGGCAGGAGGGGCAUUUGGG